ACCCCUGCGGGAGGCAGCAGUGGGGAAUAUUGGACAAUGGGCGCAAGCCUGAUCCAGCCAUGCCGCGUGAGUGAUGAAGGCCCUAGGGUUGUAAAGCUCUUUCACCGGUGAAGAUAAUGACGGUAACCGGAGAAGAAGCCCCGGCUAACUUCGUGCCAGCAGCCGCGGUAAUACGAAGGGGGCUAGCGUUGUUCGGAUUUACUGGGCGUAAAGCGCACGUAGGCGGACUAUUAAGUCAGGGGUGAAAUCCCGGGGCUCAACCCCGGAACUGCCUUUGAUACUGGUAGUCUUGAGUUCGAGAGAGGUGAGUGGAAUUCCGAGUGUAGAGGUGAAAUUCGUAGAUAUUCGGAGGAACACCAGUGGCGAAGGCGGCUCACUGGCUCGAUACUGACGCUGAGGUGCGAAAGCGUGGGGAGCAAACAGGAUUAGAAACCCGAGUAGUCCCAUGAU
RNAcentral lists this ribosomal RNA (450 nucleotides) under uncultured organism. Its description in RNAcentral is "partial 16S ribosomal RNA". It matches the Rfam family "Bacterial small subunit ribosomal RNA", at positions 335 to 801 of the family's 1533-position model. The record is from RNAcentral.